Molecule: long non-coding RNA, 6519 nt
Filed under: Pelobates cultripes (western spadefoot toad)
Lineage: Eukaryota; Metazoa; Chordata; Amphibia; Anura; Pelobatidae
Source: RNAcentral
CGCAUGUCUCAUUUUCUUUAAUACCUGGUCGUGAGUUUAUAUUCACGUACUUUGUUCGGCUAAUCAUUUGUAUGAAAGUUACAUUUUGUGUAAUACAUGGUAUGCAGCAAGCAAUGUUAAGCAUUUUGGCGUCAAUAAUACACAGGAAUAUACAGGUUAAUCUAGGUAUAUCGAAUAAGAAGUAGUGGCUCUGAUUCAGGGGUCGUGACUACGACCGAUGAAUGAGUGCUAUAAAGUCCUGAAAUUACUCUCCCAAGAAAGGGAAUAACCCUCAAUAAGAAAACUUAAAACGGAAAGGAGGACCACGAGAGUCCUAAACAGGAGAGUAAUAUGAAGAGGGGAAAAGGGGGUCCCUACCUUUUAAUAAUUCUAAAGAUACACACAACAAGACAGGUGGGAAGAAAUGUAGCAAAAGAGAGUCCUGCAGGCUAGACACAGGAACCAGUUACUAAAAAACUGCCUGCUGAAUGUCUAGGAUCCUAAAAGGCACGCCCUCUAAAUCUUCCCAGAACAGGGACCCUAAUUGAAAAAGGGGGUAACUAAAGAAAUAGGGAAAGGGAGCAAAUGUAAAGGGAGGUAUCCCAAGGAGUAAAUAUUGUGCAAAAAACUCCUAUAAAGGUCCACUUGCCCUAGUUACCUCGGCACUGUGAAAAAUCACCAGUGCCUACCAAAGAAACUCAGUCCCUGCCUGUCAAAAGUAAAUAAUAACUGAUAAAAUAAAUUAAAUUAAAUCAAUCCAUCAGUGCUACCAAAAAAGUGCAAAACAAAGAAAAUAAAAUAAAAAGAAGCUCGACGCGCGUUUCAGCGUUUCAACACGCCGUCAUCAGGAGCAAUAAACUUUUGGAGUUCCCUGUAGCGAUUUAAAUACACCUUGUUACAAUCUAUAAGAUGGAAAGCAGCUGUUGUGUACCACGUGUGUUGCCGACAAUACUGUUAGCUUAUUGGUCAGCUACCUCUUAGGCCCGCCUCUUGUCCGCCGCGUCAUAUGACGUGGUCUUAGAAUGAAUGAAGGGGCGUAAUAAUGAGGUUUAGACGAUGUCCACAUGAGUUCAUCCACAGGAUUUUUUAUUCGUUACAAUAUAGUUUGGAGACUUUAUUAGGAUACAGAACUGAAGGAGGGUUUACAUAGUGAUAACGAUAUGUAGUUUACAAGCGCCCAAUGCGCAUGCGCACAUAUCGGUUAGCAAUUGGUCCAAUGCGUAUCCCUCCUAUCCAUCUGUCGAUUGGAUCUGUCACUUGUCAGUCACGUCGUAAGACGUGAUACUGAACUGAAUCGAGGGACAUAAUGUUUAAAUAGUGCCCCCAUAAGACCCAAGUCGGAUGAGUAAUUCCGUAAGGAUUAUUAAAUUGGUAGCAAUAUAAUGAAUAAAAGUCCCGUUAUGAUCGCUAGUUAUUAAUAGUAGUAAUCACCAGGAAUGAUUAUAAGCUAUGGCUGUCCAUUGGUCCAUUGUCUUUAAAAGUCUAUCCAUCCGCCAGAUACAGUCCUGGCAUAGGUAGGUGGAUAAAAUACAGGAAAUAACUGUGAAUAAUGCCCCUAUGGGGUCAACAUGAAAAUAUACACGAAAUUCCCAUAGACAGAGACCCAUUAUGGACCGCUAGGUGACAAUAUGAUCUUAACAUAAUUGAUUAAAUACCCUGGUGAAAACUGAUACUGUACGAUCUUAACAUAAUAAAUUAAAUUGAAUAAAUAAAUAUCCUGGUAAUAACUAAUACUAAGUAGUAUAAAUUAAAGAUGCUCAAAUGUUGCCACAUGAUACACAAUAAAAAUUAAUUAGUAAAUAUUAACCAUAUACCCUGAGUAUAUAUGUCCAAAUUGUGGACAUAAUUAAAAAGCCUAUGAUAUAUGUAUAUUAAUAUAUUGAUGUAAUAACGGAAGGCUGAUUAAGACAUUACAGUAAAGGCUCGCAAUCCAAAAAAGUUGAUGACAUAAAGUCCAGGUGAUAAGCAUUUGGGAACAGAAGAAGUUUUGCAAAAUAAAAAGAUCAUAAUAGUGUGUACAUUAAUAAUGUAAUAUAUUUAAUCCAUCGGGGGACUAAUGAAAAUUUCCCUAUAAAUUGUUUAUAUCCAGUGUAGAGAGAGAAAAUAGAGAAAACAGAGACAGAGAAAAAUAUGUCGAGAGAUAUGGCAAAUUAGAGAAAAGCGGUAAAGGAAAAACCCUCAUUUAGGCCAGCAGGGGAGAGGGUCUUGAGCCUGUAGAUCCAAUAGGAUUCACGUUGUCUCAGUUUCUUAUCCCAAUCGCCCUUACGUUGAGUUUGUGGGAUAUGUUCUAUUCCCAUGAACUUAAGUUUGUUGGCAGAAUUCAAAUGGUGAAUUCUCAAAUGACGUGAGAUUGGGGUUUCUAAGGGUCUUCUAACCGAAUUUACAUGUUCCCUAAUCCUUAGUUUGAAAGGUCUAAACGUUUUCCCCACAUAUUUAACGCCACAUGAACAGGUAAGUAAAUAAAUGACACCUUCCGUCCUACAAUUGAUAAACGAGUGGACUGAAAAGGUUUCUUUAUUACUACUGUCCGUAAAUUCCUUAGAUUUUUGAUCAAUAAAUUCACAUGCGCUGCAGUGUCCGCACCUAUACGUCCCCUUGGGCAAAUAGUUUUGAGACCCUCUUUUAGGGGGGGAUAGAUGGCUCUGCACCAGUGUAUCCCGUAGGUUUUUGCCCCUCCGUGCUGUCACAGAGGGAAACAUGGUGACUACCUGUUUGAUUUGUGGAUCAGAUGUUAGGAUUGGCCAAAAUCGCUUCAGUGUACCCAUCAUAAAGUCCCAACCUGCAUCAUACGUGGCAAUACAUCGGAUUCGUUUUUGAUCUUGUGCUUGCACCUUAACAUCUGUUAAGAGUGACUCACGUUCGGUGCUGAUUGCUCUAGUGUACGCUCUGCGUAACACUCUAUUGGGAUAGCCCUUAUCCUUAAAGGCUCGCCUGAGAUCCCAUGCCUUGGCUUUGAAGUCAUCUAUAGAAGAACAGUUACACCGCAAUCUUAGGUAUUGCCCAAUUGGUAUACCUGCCUUUAGGGGUUGGGGGUGAUGACUAUGCCAAUUUAGCAGGCUAUUGGUGGCAGUAUGUUUUUUAUAAAGGGUGGUUGAGGCCCUUCCUCCGGAAAUGGUUAUAGUAAUAUCCAAAAAAUUAAGUUGUUUGCCGCCUAUCUCGCUAGUGAAUCUUAGAUUCAGAUCAUUCACAUUAAGGAGGCUUACAAAGGUCUCAAAGUCUUUUUUGCUCCCUGUCCAUAUGACCAGAACGUCAUCUAUAUAGCGUUUCCAACAGAAUAUCAUUUCCAUGAAGUAGCUCAAAUGUGGGGCUGAUCUAAUGAGAUUUUCCCAGGUCCCCAAAUAGAGAUUAGCAUAUGAGGGGGCACAGGAAGUCCCCAUAGCUGUCCCCCUAAUUUGCUGAUAGAUGGUACCAUUAAAGAUAAAGAUAUUUCUUGUAAGGACCAUUUUAAGUAUGUUGGAAACCAAAUCUGUGUAUGCGACUGGAGUGUGCAAUUCAUGUUCAAGGAUAGUUCUGAUAUUAUCAAUUCCUUGAAUAUGUGGUAUGGAACUAUACAACGACUCCACAUCCAGACUGCAUAGAAGUGCUUGUUCCGGUAUGGAGAUAUCCUUCAAGAAAUUAAGCAUCUGUUUCGUGUCCCUUAUGUAAGAGGGUAAUUUUGCAACCAUAGGGGACAAAAUCUUAUCCAAAAAGAUGCUCAGAUUUUGGGUUAGGUUCCCACAACCUGAAACAAUUGGUCUACCUGACCGAUGUAUUGCCACGUAUGAUGCAGGUUGGGACUUUAUGAUGGGUACACUGAAGCGAUUUUGGCCAAUCCUAACAUCUGAUCCACAAAUCAAACAGGUAGUCACCAUGUUUCCCUCUGUGACAGCACGGAGGGGCAAAAACCUACGGGAUACACUGGUGCAGAGCCAUCUAUCCCCCCCUAAAAGAGGGUCUCAAAACUAUUUGCCCAAGGGGACGUAUAGGUGCGGACACUGCAGCGCAUGUGAAUUUAUUGAUCAAAAAUCUAAGGAAUUUACGGACAGUAGUAAUAAAGGAACCUUUUCAGUCCACUCGUUUAUCAAUUGUAGGACGGAAGGUGUCAUUUAUUUACUUACCUGUUCAUGUGGCGUUAAAUAUGUGGGGAAAACGUUUAGACCUUUCAAACUAAGGAUUAGGGAACAUGUAAAUUCGGUUAGAAGACCCUUAGAAACCCCAAUCUCACGUCAUUUGAGAAUUCACCAUUUGAAUUCUGCCAACAAACUUAAGUUCAUGGGAAUAGAACAUAUCCCACAAACUCAACGUAAGGGCGAUUGGGAUAAGAAACUGAGACAACGUGAAUCCUAUUGGAUCUACAGGCUCAAGACCCUCUCCCCUGCUGGCCUAAAUGAGGGUUUUUCCUUUACCGCUUUUCUCUAAUUUGCCAUAUCUCUCGACAUAUUUUUCUCUGUCUCUGUUUUCUCUAUUUUCUCUCUCUACACUGGAUAUAAACAAUUUAUAGGGAAAUUUUCAUUAGUCCCCCGAUGGAUUAAAUAUAUUACAUUAUUAAUGUACACACUAUUAUGAUCUUUUUAUUUUGCAAAACUUCUUCUGUUCCCAAAUGCUUAUCACCUGGACUUUAUGUCAUCAACUUUUUUGGAUUGCGAGCCUUUACUGUAAUGUCUUAAUCAGCCUUCCGUUAUUACAUCAAUAUAUUAAUAUACAUAUAUCAUAGGCUUUUUAAUUAUGUCCACAAUUUGGACAUAUAUACUCAGGGUAUAUGGUUAAUAUUUACUAAUUAAUUUUUAUUGUGUAUCAUGUGGCAACAUUUGAGCAUCUUUAAUUUAUACUACUUAGUAUUAGUUAUUACCAGGAUAUUUAUUUAUUCAAUUUAAUUUAUUAUGUUAAGAUCGUACAGUAUCAGUUUUCACCAGGGUAUUUAAUCAAUUAUGUUAAGAUCAUAUUGUCACCUAGCGGUCCAUAAUGGGUCUCUGUCUAUGGGAAUUUCGUGUAUAUUUUCAUGUUGACCCCAUAGGGGCAUUAUUCACAGUUAUUUCCUGUAUUUUAUCCACCUACCUAUGCCAGGACUGUAUCUGGCGGAUGGAUAGACUUUUAAAGACAAUGGACCAAUGGACAGCCAUAGCUUAUAAUCAUUCCUGGUGAUUACUACUAUUAAUAACUAGCGAUCAUAACGGGACUUUUAUUCAUUAUAUUGCUACCAAUUUAAUAAUCCUUACGGAAUUACUCAUCCGACUUGGGUCUUAUGGGGGCACUAUUUAAACAUUAUGUCCCUCGAUUCAGUUCAGUAUCACGUCUUACGACGUGACUGACAAGUGACAGAUCCAAUCGACAGAUGGAUAGGAGGGAUACGCAUUGGACCAAUUGCUAACCGAUAUGUGCGCAUGCGCAUUGGGCGCUUGUAAACUACAUAUCGUUAUCACUAUGUAAACCCUCCUUUAGUUCUGUAUCCUAAUAAAGUCUCCAAACUAUAUUGUAACGAAUAAAAAAUCCUGUGGAUGAACUCAUGUGGACAUCGUCUAAACCUCAUUAUUACGCCCCUUCAUUCAUUCUAAGACCACGUCAUAUGACGCGGCGGACAAGAGGCGGGCCUAAGAGGUAGCUGACCAAUAAGCUAACAGUAUUGUCGGCAACACACGUGGUACACAACAGCUGCUUUCCAUCUUAUAGAUUGUAACAAGGUGUAUUUAAAUCGCUACAGGGAACUCCAAAAGUUUAUUGCUCCUGAUGACGGCGUGUUGAAACGCUGAAACGCGCGUCGAGCUUCUUUUUAUUUUAUUUUCUUUGUUUUGCACUUUUUUGGUAGCACUGAUGGAUUGAUUUAAUUUAAUUUAUUUUAUCAGUUAUUAUUUACUUUUGACAGGCAGGGACUGAGUUUCUUUGGUAGGCACUGGUGAUUUUUCACAGUGCCGAGGUAACUAGGGCAAGUGGACCUUUAUAGGAGUUUUUUGCACAAUAUUUACUCCUUGGGAUACCUCCCUUUACAUUUGCUCCCUUUCCCUAUUUCUUUAGUUACCCCCUUUUUCAAUUAGGGUCCCUGUUCUGGGAAGAUUUAGAGGGCGUGCCUUUUAGGAUCCUAGACAUUCAGCAGGCAGUUUUUUAGUAACUGGUUCCUGUGUCUAGCCUGCAGGACUCUCUUUUGCUACAUUUCUUCCCACCUGUCUUGUUGUGUGUAUCUUUAGAAUUAUUAAAAGGUAGGGACCCCCUUUUCCCCUCUUCAUAUUACUCUCCUGUUUAGGACUCUCGUGGUCCUCCUUUCCGUUUUAAGUAAUCUAGGUAUAUGUUAAUUACAAAUACGCAAGUCUGUUAUUUUGUUUCUUUGAUACAAAGAUGUUAAAUCAUGGAAUUUACCUUUGAAAUCACUCUCCUUUCAAUUCUAGGGACAAACUUUCGGAAUAUAUUAAAUACGCUGAAUUACAUAAUUACGUUUCGGUUAGUAAUAAUUCCUUUCUUUAAGACUCUAUUUCACUCCUCUCUUCUACAUUCCUAAACUAGUAGACUCGGUAAACUCAGUCGUCUUAAUGUAGGCAUAAUUUAGCCACAAACAUUAUACUUUAAUAGUUU